Molecule: transfer RNA, 97 nt
Filed under: Emericellopsis atlantica
Lineage: Eukaryota; Fungi; Ascomycota; Sordariomycetes; Hypocreales; Bionectriaceae
Rfam family: tRNA
About the family: Transfer RNA (tRNA) molecules are approximately 80 nucleotides in length.
Source: Rfam by way of RNAcentral
GCCCGGCUAGCUCAAUCGGUAGAGCGUGAGACUCUUACGCCUAAUAAGCGAAGGUCCACAUAUCUCAAGGUUGUGGGUUCGACCCCCACGUCGGGCU